Rhinopithecus bieti (black snub-nosed monkey) is the source of this 1828-nucleotide long non-coding RNA. The record is from Ensembl. Lineage: Eukaryota; Metazoa; Chordata; Mammalia; Primates; Cercopithecidae.
CUCCCUGGACGGGGCAUACCAAUGGGGUGAGGGCGGAGCCACAGGGCACUCACACAGACCUCCCCGCAGUGCGAGGGGCCUCCUGCGCCUGGCCGAUGCCCUGGCCUUCCGUCAGGACCUGGAGGUGGUCAGCUCCACCGUCCGUGCCGUCGUCGCCACCCUGAGGUCUGGGGAGCAGUGCAGUGUGGAGCCUGAGCUGAUCAGCAAAGUCCUCCAGGGGCUGAUGGAGGUGAGGUCCCCUACCUGGAGGAGCUGCUGACUGUGCUCUUCUCUGCCACUGCGGACGCCGCCUCCCCGUUUCCGGGCUGUAAGCCCGUGGUGGUGGUGAGCUCCCUGCUGCUGCAGGAGGAGGAGCCCCUGGCUGCGGGGAAGCCGGAUGCGGAUGGCGGCAGCCUGGAGGCCGUGCGGCUGGGGCCCUCGUCAGGCCUCCUGGUGGACUGGCUGGAGAUGCUGGACCCCGAGGUGGUCAGCAGCUGCCCCGACCUGCAGCACAGGCUGCUCUUCUCCCGGAGGAAGGGCAAAGGUCAGGCCCAGGUGCCCUCGUUCCGCCCCUACCUCCUGACCCUCUUCACGCAUCAGUCCAGCUGGCCCACGCUGCACCAGUGCAUCCGAGUCCUGCUGAGCAAGAGCCGGGAGCAGAGGUUCGACCCCUCCGCCUCUCUGGACUUCCUCUGGGCCUGCAUCCACGUUCCUCGCAUCUGGCAGGGGCGAGACCAGCGCACCCCGCAGAAGCGGCGGGAGGAGCUAGUGCUGCGGGUGCAGGGCCCAGAGCUCAUCAGCCUGGUGGAGCUGAUCCUGGCCGAGGCAGAGACGCGGAGCCAGGACGGGGACACGGCCGCCUGCAGCCUCAUCCAGGCCCGGCUGCCCCUGCUGCUCAGCUGCUGCCGUGGGGACGAUGAGAGCGUCAGGAAGGUGACAGAGCACCUGUCAGGCUGCAUCCAGCAGUGGGGAGACAGUGUGCUGGGCAGGCGCUGCCGAGACCUCCUCCUGCAGCUCUAUCUACAGCGGCCAGAGCUGCGGGUGCCCGUGCCUGAGGUCCUGCUGCACAGUGAAGGAGCUACCAGCAGCAGCAUCUGCAAGGUGAGGGCACCACUCUGCUGCUCCUUGUGCCAUCCCAGGUGCCCUGGCCGGGCAGGGAGGGAGGGCGGAGGCUCCAGUUUCUGUGGGCCAUCACCGGCUUCACCUCUUGUCCCUUCCCGGUCCGUGCUGCCGGGUGGCCCCGUGGGUUUGUCUGCACUGAGUCUUAAACCAAGGGGACCUGCAGGCGCUUUGCUCGCGGGGCGCCAUCCAGCAGAGUCUGCAGAGUCGUGGUGUCAUGGGCGCUGAGCGGCCUGCCAUUGUGUGGAUCGACCGUUGGUUUAUCUGUUCACCUGCUGGUGGACGUGGAGUCACGUUCAGUUUGGGGCAGUGACAGCUGCUGGGGACUCGUGCAUGGGUCUUGGUGGACGGCUGCGUCUGCUCCUCUUCAGUGACCCUGGGGGCGGGGCUGGGCCUCUCGUGCCCGCUUCCCCGCCGCUGGCUGGGACCUGCAGCCUGUCUUCUGCUGGUACCACAGAGGGCAGCUGACUUUUUCUAAUCAUUUCUGCUUGUGAUUUUUUUCACUUAUAAGUUGUUUCAUACAUUGAAAUCAUACUUGAUGUGCAGUUUUGCGGGGAGUUUUUGAGGCAGGGUGUCUGUUGCCGAGGCUGGAGUGCGGCGGCACUAUCAUAGCUCACUACAGCCUCAACCUCCCGUGCUCAAGUGAUCCUCCCACCUCAGCCUCCCGAGUAGCUGGGACCACAGGCAUGUGCCACCACACCCAGUUAAUUUUUUUUUUUUUGAGACGGGA